UACAACCAUCUCCAUGAAUAGGAAGAGUCUUCCCCCUCAUGGCUAAAAGUAUAAACUUUGGAAUUAGUUUCUCCGGGAAUUGAUUAGGACCAUAGACAUUGUUCCCUCUAGUGGUUAUAACAGGUAAACCGUAUGAUCUACCGUAAGCCAUAACAAGCAUCUCGGCCCCGGCUUUUGUGGCUGAAUAUGGGUUAGUGGGAAGGAGUUGCGAGGCUUCGUGAUUUCCUACAAUAGCAUCCUCGUCAGUCUCCCCAUAAACUUCAUCCGUACUGACAUGGAUAAACCUUCUGAUCUGACCAGUAACUUUGCAGGCUUCUAAUAGUACGUGGGUACCAUAGAUGUUGUUCUUAGUGAACUCAAAGCAUAAAGAUAACUACGAACAUUACAACCAUCUCCAUGAAUAGGAAGAGUCUUCCCCCUCAUGGCUAAAAGUAUAAACUUUGGAAUUAGUUUCUCCGGGAAUUGAUUAGGACCAUAGACAUUGUUCCCUCUAGUGGUUAUAACAGGUAAACCGUAUGAUCUACCGUAAGCCAUAACAAGCAUCUCGGCCCCGGCUUUUGUGGCUGAAUAUGGGUUAGUGGGAAGGAGUUGCGAGGCUUCGUGAUUUCCUACAAUAGCAUCCUCGUCAGUCUCCCCAUAAACUUC
This 645-nucleotide long non-coding RNA is filed under the name Nicotiana benthamiana. RNAcentral describes it as "long non-coding RNA (NBEN_LNC015389)". Lineage: Eukaryota; Viridiplantae; Streptophyta; Magnoliopsida; Solanales; Solanaceae. The record is from RNAcentral.